Nothobranchius furzeri (turquoise killifish) is the source of this 3940-nucleotide non-coding RNA. The record is from RefSeq and is a predicted model, not a curated record. Lineage: Eukaryota; Metazoa; Chordata; Actinopteri; Cyprinodontiformes; Nothobranchiidae.
AGGAUUAUAAGACACCUUUCGUCAAACAUUUUGACAGGUCUAUUGUUCUUUGACCUUUCAUUCCUAUUGUUCAUUUGACCCUUGACCUUGCCCCCCCUCCUAUCAUUAAUCAAAUGGACAGGUGUAUUGUUCAAUCUUUGCCCCCCCUUCCGUAUCAUUAAUCAAAUGGACAUGUGUAUUGUUAAUUGUCCAGAUGGGCUAGACCCCCCACGCCGCAUCAUCAAUGGCGUAUUGUUGAGCGUCCAUGAUCCCCCACGUCAUAGGCUAAUGUGUGUAAUGGUGUGUGGUUUCUUUUUUGUGAUAGCCCAUCGGUUCCCACAGCCCCCCUCCCUUCUGAGUGUAAUUCUAUUGUGUAUAACUCUUUAAAAGCUCAGAUCUGUCCGAAUGGUGAAAAGCCGAGCUCUAAGAAAAAAUGAUGAACCACGAGGAGCUGAAUGAAGCACCAAGCCACCUCUCAGAUAUGUUCCUCACCUAAAUAUGGUAUGGUCUGCUAGCUCUUGAGUGAGUGACAGAAGCUGAAGUCAAUGCAUGAACUUUUGCAGCCUUUUGCUGAACACACACAAACUCUUCAGAGUGACACAUUGUCUAUGUCAUUAAUACUCUCUUUGAGAUGUUCACGUUGGAUUUCGUAUGUUCAGUCUUAAACUUUGUGUUUAAAUGUGUUAUUUACAUGCAGCUCUCAGACACUUUUUGACCAGAACUAAAACUAUUGUGUAAAACUCUCUGUCCAGCAGCACAUCAAAUUAAUGGCUGUAAGCACACACACACACACACACACACACACACACACACACACACACACACACACACACACACACACACACACACACACACACACACACACACACACACACACUUCUCUAAGAAGUAAAAGGAUUACAUUCAAACAUUUCUAUCACUUCACAAAAGCAAUGGUUUACCAUCCUAAACCAUUUAUGGUCCUGUUGUAAACCACCAUGCAUUCUCAAGCCUAUAAGAACAAAAGUUGAUCCUUACCUCAGCGUGAAUGAAAUGGUUGUACGUUUCCUCAAAGUUAAAGAAUCUGUUUUUGUAGUAGCAGACAAGAUGGUAUGGUCUGCUAGCUCUCGAGUGAGUGACAGAAGCUGAAGUCAAUGCAUGAACUUUUGCAGCCUUUUGCUGAACACACACAAACUCUUCAGAGUGACACAUUGUCUAUGUCAUUAAUACUCUCUUUGAGAUGUUCACGUUGGAUUUCGUAUGUUCAGUCUUAAACUUUGUGUUUAAAUGUGUAAAUAUUUACAUGCAGCUCACUGACACUUUUUGACCAGAACUAAAACUAUUGUGUAAAACUCUCUGUCCAGCAGCACAUCAAAUUAAUGGUUGUAAACACACACACACACACACACACACACACACACACACACACACACACACACACACACACACACACACACACGCACACACACACACACUUCUCUAAGAAGUAAAGGGAUUACAUUCAAACAUUUGUCUUUGACUAAACCAUUCAAACAUUUCUAUCACUUCACAAAAGCAAUGGUUUACCAUCCUAAACCAUUUAUGGUCCUGUUGUAAACCACCAUGCAUUCUCAAGCCUAUAAGAACAAAAGUUGAUCCUUACCUCAGCGUGAUGCUUUUAAGAUCUGUUGAGCUUUUUUAAAGUUCAUUCUGAACAAUUUUGCACGGCCAGCGACUUCUGACAAAGCAAAUGACUUCUUUUUUUUUUUGCAGGUGGCGGGAAAGUUUUAAAAACAAAGAACUGGUUGAACCAAAUCGUCACAGAAACAACACACAAAAAGCAAAUUACUUACUUUUUUUGCAGGUGGGCUGUAUUGAAAGAGUGGCGGGAAAGUUUUAAAAACAAAGUUCUGGUUCAUUCUAACCAAGUCGGCAUGGUAACAAUUCACAAAAGCAAAUGACUUGCUAUUGUUUCAAAGAGCUAUUUAGGUGAACAGCAUCUUUGGUUCGUCAUCAUCAUCAGUGAAAGCUUAACCAUCGCCUCCUGCCUUUAGUGUCACAUUUUGUUUUCACUGUCACACACACACACACACACACACACACACACACACACACACACACACACACACACACACACACACACACACACACACACACACACACACACACACACACACACACACAUUGCUUCCUGCCUCAGAGAAAAGAUUUGAUCCAUUUUGUAGGACCUAUAACAGCUGAAAUAAAUAAAAAGCUGUUUAUGAGGUUUGUUUUUUGGGAGGGGUGGAUUAGUAAAGUCUCAGAGCAGACGUACCUCUGGUCAAACCUUUAAUGUCAUACCUCUCAGAAUAGUUAAACUAAGGCACAUGCAUGUCGUAAACGGAUUUACACACGAGUGAAAGAGCUGCUACAUUUUAACCAAAACAUGAGCGAAGAAGAAGAAUAAGAAGAACCGAUGGAUACGUGUUUUGAAUAUAGCCUUCCUCUGCUAAAAACAACGUUCGAAUUGAGACAUGAUGAGAUUUCAGGAAGAAAUGUCCGGUACAAAAACGGUACGGUAUUAUUUUUUGGAUCGUAAAGGUUUUUUUAUUUCUGCUCCGGGGAGUUUUGAUGAAGCAAUGGAUACGAGCACACACACACACACACACACACACACACACACACACACACACACACACACACACACACACACACACACACACACACACACACACACACACACAUUGCUUCCUGCCUCAGAGAAAAGAUUUGAUCCAUUUUGUAGGACCUAUAACAGCUGAAAUAAAUAAAAAGCUGUUUAUGAGGUUUGUUUUUUGGGAGGGGUGGAUUAGUAAAGUCUCAGAGCAGACGUACCUCUGGUCAAACCUUUAAUGUCAUACCUCUCAGAAUAGUUAAACUAAGGCACAUGCAUGUCGUAAAUGGAUUUACACACGAGUGAAAGAGCUGCUACAUUUUAACCAAAACAUGAGCGAAGAAGAAGAAUAAGAAGAACCGAUGGAUACGUGUUUUGAAUAUAGCCUUCCUCUGCUAAAAACAACGUUCGAAUUGAGACAUGAUGAGAUUUCAGGAAGAAAUGUCCGGUACAAAAACGGUACGGUAUUAUUUUUUGGAUCGUAAAGGUUUUUUUAUUUCUGCUCCGGGGAGUUUUGAUGAAGCAAUGGAUACGAGCACACACACACACACACACACACACACACACACACACACACACACACACACACACACACACACACACAACUCUAAACAACCAUUCAUACAUUUGUCUACCUAUACAACAAAGCAAAUGACUCUGUAUUGUUUAUAAACAUUUUUUUUUCGACCAAUCGCAACCGUUUUCUAUUCAAGAUUUUUUUAAACAGCUGUAUAAAAUGUAAAAGCGCAUUUUCGGAGUCGUGAUUUGAGGUGUAACAAGCUAAGAUGACGGGUAAGUUUUUAACUCAAGACGCAAAUCUUUUUUUUUCUCUUUCUGGUUUAACAUCUUUAUUUUCAGACGCUAUUGUCAUAUCGGACGGCGAGUGGGAAGAAAUUCCUAUUGAGGAAUUAACUUGUAAGACACCGAUCCCUCUGGAUGAUUUGUCUAAAAUUAAUCGCGCGGUCGAGAAUCUGAGUGAGUGGAUUUUAUAAAUAUAUACGUAACGUUCUUUUCUUCAACUGAGAAAUAUCUCAUUUUACAGAAAAGGAGGGGGUUCAACCUUACCCCGGAAGUGAUAACUUUUACCCAACCACGCCUCCAUCCACCAGCCGAACCGUCUUACAUUCGUAUCAGCCCAGCCAUACCGUCAGAUCACACGGGAAUGCGAGCGUGAAAGCUGUUCGUUACAGGACCAUCACGCCGCAGACGAUCCUCGAAGCUGAGCAACGUCCGACGGCCUACGCACCCCCAAUAUCUCAGCCCCCACCACCUCCAACCCCUUCUCAUGCGCAGACGGAUGAACAACAUCAGACAGCCGCUUCAAUAUCUCCGCCCACACCUCCUCCACCUCCUCCUCCUCCUCCUCCCCCA